This 468-nucleotide ribosomal RNA is filed under the name uncultured bacterium. RNAcentral's name for it is "partial 16S ribosomal RNA". It matches the Rfam family "Bacterial small subunit ribosomal RNA", at positions 28 to 507 of the family's 1533-position model. The record is from RNAcentral.
GAUGAACGCUGGCGGCGUGCUUAACACAUGCAAGUCGAACGAAGAGGCGCGGCUUUUGUGGUGGUCUCGAGGGGCGAAGGGGUGAGAAACACAAGUGAAACAUCCCCUUGUCUGUGGGAUAACUUUAUGAAAAUGUGGAAAAUCGCCUGGAGGAGUUCAUGCACCGGUGGGUGUGUUAGAGAUUUACGGCGGUUGGGGAUGGACUCGCGGCUUAUCAGCUUGUUGGUGGGGUAGUGGCUGACCAAGGCUUUGACGGGUAGCCGGCCUGAGAGGGUGACCGGCCACAUUGGGACUGAGAUACGGCCCAGACUCCUACGGGAGGCAGCAGUGGGGAAUAUUGCACAAUGGGCGGAAGCCUGAUGCAGCAACGCCGCGUGCGGGAUGACGGCCUUCGGGUUGUAAACCGCUUUCGCCUGUGACGAAGCGUGAGUGACGGUAAUGGGUAAAGAAGCACCGGCUAACUACGUG